RNAcentral lists this transfer RNA (74 nucleotides) under Candidatus Berkelbacteria bacterium. RNAcentral describes it as "tRNA-Trp". It matches the Rfam family "tRNA". Rfam says of the family: Transfer RNA (tRNA) molecules are approximately 80 nucleotides in length. Their secondary structure includes four short double-helical elements and three loops (D, anti-codon, and T loops). Lineage: Bacteria; Candidatus Berkelbacteria. The record is from RNAcentral.
AGGGGUGUAGCUCAGCCCGGCAGAGCAACGGUCUCCAAAACCGUGUGUCGCAGGUUCAAAUCCUGUCACCCCUG